This is a long non-coding RNA of Macrobrachium nipponense, 1445 nucleotides long. RefSeq lists it as uncharacterized. NCBI's taxonomy places the organism in Eukaryota, Metazoa, Arthropoda, Malacostraca, Decapoda, Palaemonidae. The transcript is spliced from 3 exons. The record is from RefSeq and is a predicted model, not a curated record.
CAUUUUCAAAGUGGUGUGAUUUAGUGACUAACACGAACGAGAGAAGUGCUUAUUGGUCGGUAUUCUUACGUUGGUCCUUUAGGUUUAGGUCGUGGUUCUGCUCGUCUCUUGUCAAGGUUUUGAGGUUUGCGGUCCGGCCUGAGUUUAAAAGUAGUUUGUCGCCAAAAACAGCGCUUCACACAUCAAUUAAGCUUCGUUGGUAAUUAUUUAAGUGAUAAGGUUCUGCUGGUACGUUAGCAGCGAGUGUUAGCCUGCUAGUACGCGAACAUUGCACAGCAAAAUUGAUUAGCAAGCCGGCCAGAGACUACAGAAGUCGGGAACUACAGUUACAUUAUCUCUCUCAAAGCUGAAGUAUUAUCAUUGAUUCAGCCCCUGAUUGAUACUUUGAAGUAGGGUAUUUCCUUAGUCUGACUGUGCAUGCGGAAGCAGCAAGAAGCGGGAUGUGUUUACAUGGUGGGUACGAAUGCCCUUGUCGGGCUGAGGUGGCAACGGAGCACUAACCCAGCACAGAGGUCAUUUCAAAUCUCAGGAAAACAUUUUUAGUAACAUUCCCCCAACAAAAACUUAGUCAUUCUUAAACAUAUGAAGUUUUUAUUAUGAAACAGUAAUUACCAUAUAUUAAGUGUAAUUACCAUAUAUUAAGUGUAAAAAAAUCAGACAUUUUUUCAUCACUGUCGUGGCAUUUUUAGAGAAGCGGCCAAAAAGGCUGAGUUUGACUAUAGUCUACUUUACCGCGGAAUGAGGGCUUAGAAUUACCUUAGUUUUGAGUGUAAUAAAAAAUUUAACAGCAUUCUAUACACCUUUGUCUAAUAUCUGCUUUAAAGGUUUAUGUACUUGUUAAAUGUAGUACUGAGCACUUCCAUUGCGCAGGUUUGACCUACUAUGAGGUUCAGAGACUUCGUCCCGGUGCUUUUUCGGAAUAAAAUUUUUUCUGUGCAUUUGACUUAAGAUAUUACUUAGCCAUAGUAUGCUUUACAUCCCUACCUAAUUUUCGGCAGCAUUCAUUAUUACUCUAUUAGAAAAAAGUAUAUUCAUAAGAGUAAAAUAAAGCAGACAAAGCCACUGGCGGAACACACGAGUGUACGGGUUCAAAGUUAUACGUGACGUAGACAUAUGACGUCCUGACUCCUCCCACAAGGUGAUGACAAACGGCUGUCUGAUUAUCUGAAUGAAUAUUCGUGCCUUGUCAAGGCUUCAAGAAUGGCGGCUAUGAUUAGUCAUUGUCCCAAUACUUGGCUUAGUCUAAAUUCUAUGUAUAAUCCAAUCUAAUCCUGUGUUUUUAUUACAAUGAUGGUCACCGUCAUAUUGGGAAAAACAUCAAAGGAGCUACGACGAAUGCAAAAGUUUUCCUUUGCUAAUUUAUUUUUAAUAAUUUUUCAAUGGAGAAAGUGAUAAAAAGUAAUUUCUCGUAUUACUUGUGGAAACACUGUACUAAAAGUAUUCCA